UACAGAGACGGCAAGCGUUGCUCGGAUUCAUUGGGCGUAAAGGGUUCGCAGGCGGUCGGGCAAGUCGGAUGUGAAAGCCCACGGCUUAACCGUGGAGGGUCAUUCGAAACUGCUCGACUGGAGGACUGGAGAGGAGACUGGAAUGGUCGGUGUAGCGGUGAAAUGCGUAGAGAUCGACCAGAACACCAGUGGCGAAGGCGGGUCUCUGGCCAGUUCCUGACGCUCAGGAACGAAAGCGUGGGGAGCAAACGGG
This 253-nucleotide ribosomal RNA is filed under the name uncultured bacterium. RNAcentral describes it as "partial 16S ribosomal RNA". It matches the Rfam family "Bacterial small subunit ribosomal RNA", at positions 524 to 776 of the family's 1533-position model. The record is from RNAcentral.